Molecule: ribosomal RNA, 494 nt
Filed under: uncultured bacterium
Lineage: Bacteria
Description: partial 16S ribosomal RNA
Rfam family: Bacterial small subunit ribosomal RNA
Source: RNAcentral
AUUGAACGCUGGCGGAAUGCUUUACACAUGCAAGUCGAACGGUAGAGGGGCAACCCUUGAGAGUGGCGGACGGGUGAGUAAUGUAUCGGAACGUGCCCAGUCGUGGGGGAUAACGUAGCGAAAGUUACGCUAAUACCGCAUACGAUCUAUGGAUGAAAGCGGGGGAUCGCAAGACCUCGCGCGAUUGGAGUGGCCGAUAUCAGAUUAGGUAGUUGGUGGGGUAAAGGCCUACCAAGCCGACGAUCUGUAGCUGGUCUGAGAGGACGACCAGCCACACUGGGACGGAGACACGGCCCAGACUCCUACGGGAGGCAGCAGUGGGGAAUUUUGGACAAUGGGCGCAAGCCUGAUCCAGCCAUUCCGCGUGCGGGAAGAAGGCCUUCGGGUUGUAAACUGCUUUUGUACGGAACGAAACGCGCUGAGCUAAUACCUCGGCGUAAUGACGGUACCGUAAGAAUAAGCACCGGCUAACUACGUGCCAGCAGCCGCCGUAA